Molecule: ribosomal RNA, 468 nt
Filed under: uncultured bacterium
Lineage: Bacteria
Description: partial 16S ribosomal RNA
Rfam family: Bacterial small subunit ribosomal RNA
Source: RNAcentral
GACGAACGCUGGCGGCGUGCUUAACACAUGCAAGUCGAACGGAAAGGCCCUGCUUUUGUGGGGUGCUCGAGUGGCGAACGGGUGAGUAACACGUGAGUAACCUGCCCUUGACUUUGGGAUAACUUCAGGAAACUGGGGCUAAUACCGGAUAGGAGCUCCUGCUGCAUGGUGGGGGUUGGAAAGUUUCGGCGGUUGGGGAUGGACUCGCGGCUUAUCAGCUUGUUGGUGGGGGAGUGGCUUACCAAGGCUUUGACGGGUAGCCGGCCUGGGAGGGUGACCGGCCACAUUGGGACUGAGAUACGGCCCAGACUCCUACGGGAGGCAGCAGUGGGGAAUAUUGCACAAUGGGCGGAAGCCUGAUGCAGCAACGCCGCGUGCGGGAUGACGGCCUUCGGGUUGUAAACCGCUUUCGCCUGUGACGAAGCGUGAGUGACGGUAACGGGUAAAGAAGCACCGGCUAACUACGUG